Molecule: long non-coding RNA, 4817 nt
Filed under: Androctonus crassicauda
Lineage: Eukaryota; Metazoa; Arthropoda; Arachnida; Scorpiones; Buthidae
Source: RNAcentral
UAAAAGGUUAUCUUAGCAAUAAAUACACGUAUUAAAUUUUAUAAAAAAGACAGCAUGCUAAUUGUCGUGAUGUUUAAUUUAGAUUUUUCGCUGAUAAAGGUUGCAAAAUAAUAAGAUAGACUAUUAUGGUAUACAUAUUGUUCGGUGAAUUUUCCUAGCUAACAGGAAACUAAAUUAUUAACUAUUUAUGAUAUUUUUGAAGUCUAUAAAUAAAAUUCUGCUAGUAAAUUUUUGAAAACAAUUCGAAUUUUUUCUUAUUUCUUAAAAAUUAUCGAAUGAGACGGGAUAUAACAAAGGAGAAUUCUAUAAUUGGCUUUAAAAGAAGAUUCCUAGACUCGAACAGAAAGAAGAAGCAGCCUUUAACAGCUUCCGUUCCGGAUCAGGUUCAAAUGGGUUAUCUCCGAAAAGGUUAAGCUGUUAAAACGCAUUUAUUAAGGUAAACGAGUAUCUGGCUGAGAAAAAGGAGAAAAACUGGCAAGUGACUGCGAGGGGAGGAAAGAAAAAAGACAUUUUGAUCUGGUCGAGAAUUCAAUUUUCAUGCGGAUUGCUUUGUGGGAGGUUUCGGGACCGAGAUUUAUGGGCAUUUAAGUAGUUCGGCAGCGAGGCAAUUGGUGCGGACGAAAGAACUCAAGGAUUGUUGUUGUUCUUGCAAGAGUGGCUACGACGUAGAGAAAAAACGUCAUUUCAUAAGGUGGAUUGUGCUCGGGGCUAGCGGUCUUGUUUACACAUGGCAUCUCUUCUAAACUCGGCGACAAAUACCUGAAGAAUUAAAAAUCUCAUCAUCAACCCUAGCUGGGGGAGGGGGUCGAAAGAGCAGAAAGUUUCCUCUAAUGUUGUUAGUUUAAGGUAUACAGGCAAAAAAACGGUUUGCCUCUGGCUCUGUAUCUCGCACAAUAAAGAAUGGCUGCAUAAAAAGUCAUAGUUCCAGUUAGUCAAGUUAGAACAAAGUUGUGUUUGUUCAUUAAUAAAAUUUCCAGAUGUCUACGGUAUUUGCAGCGGAAGUAAUGUUUGACUUUAGCCCCCGACUUGUUAGUUGUCAAUAGGAGGGACUGCGGUUGAAAAUAAAAUUUCCUUAUAGAAAAUUAUCUUGUCCUUUUAUGUUGAUUUUUUCUCCGGGCAAUCAAAUGGUGUUGAGUUUCUAACGUUUAAUCUAAACAGAAACGGGAGUCAAUAUUUGUGCGAUGGAUUCUCUGCGAUUUUAUCGGAUUAGACUGCAGUCGCCAUUACCAAAAAAGUGCGCGGCAAAAAGUGCAAUAAUAAACAAUCAUUGGUGCACAAGUGCAGCAACUUAUAAUUUUUAUCGCGGCAAAUAUUGUGCUGAUGGUCACCGAGGGAUAGCCAGUCUGGCGUUUAUCGCCUUCACUCUCGAUUAAAUUACAAGCGAGUGUACAUUGUCCGCGGAGAAUCCCAGGCAGGAAGUCAACAUGGUCCGUCAGCACAUUAAUAUGGAAAUUUCAUUGGUUGUGCUUUUCCCUGUUCUUCCUGCUGAUUUGCAUAGUUGGAUUGCCCCCUCGGAGUUGUGCAGCAGCGAUUGCCGUCACAUCCACGUCCUGGGGGCCCUGCAGCUUCGAUUCUUGUUAAUGAAACUGGUAAUUAAGACCGUGAUCAAUUAUGCGGGUGGAAAGGGUUGACUUGUGACUUAGGCUUUCCCGGAGGACGAAGUGAGUGAGUGAGAGAGAGGGGACAUUUUUAAAAGUUUCCAACAGAGCGGCGAGGAGGGGAGGGACGAGACGAGCGGGGGGACACUUUUACUUAAUGCAGCUGCAGUCUCUGUAAUCUGUUGACGCCCAGGAAAAAUUUUUGCUUUCUGCCCUUUGGGGGAAAUCUCUGGUGGUGUACGUGCUCUGGCUCUUCAUGCAAAUUGGCCAGUGCGCUAAGAACGUCUUCACGGAGGCUGUGGCAGUGCAGUCAGUGUGUGUGAUACGCCUGCCAGCAGCCGUCCGGACCAGCUGUGAGAUAAUUACCACAAUUAAUCUUGGUUGUGCGAUUCCUAUAUGGAAACGGAGACUUUGCAGUUGUCAGACGGUGCAGCUGGUACAGAAAACCUACCUAGUCACGUGGCAGAUGUCCGUAGAGAGCUAGCUAAUUGUCUGCUAGAUUGUCAUGUGGGAUGACACUCCGUCUGAUGUCCUCUGUUUUAACUAUGGCUGGAGAACUAACGAGUCUCCCCCUCUUUUGACGCUUCCGUCCCUCCAUGCCCGAAAGUAGAAAAACCAAUCUCUGUCUUGGCGAUCAUAUUCUGUUAAAUAAAUGUCUCCCGCACGAACAGGUGACGGGGAAAGUGUUUUUGUUACCGCUAAAGGUCGUGACAGAUGACACCUGAAGUUAAGAUAUGGAUGUUUUGUAUCCGAAGAGUUGGCUAUUUACAAGACUUAAAUUUUUUUAUCUCCUCAUAUUUGUUUAUGCUUCCCCCGCAUUAUUUCCAUCUAUUAGGAGUGUCCUUCCAUUAGGACCGAACCGAUAAAAAACUCCAGCUCUUCUAAUCCCUCCAUCUUCAAUCACAGAAAAGGCCUUCAAUCAAUCUGGCUGAUAUUAAGGUUUUUAUAACUCGGAUUGACGCCGACCAAAGAACUCAAAGUGGCAGAGAACUUACUUCCUCUCUGCGGUUAAGUGCAUAAAUGGCAUCUUGGGGGACCGUCCCUCACCCCACAGUUGACCCGAACUCUGCGCUAGAUUUCUUUUUUUUUUUGUGCAGACUCUUCGACAAUAACACUAAAUGGAAAAGUGUCGGAAGAGAAGGUGAAGAUUAUCGACAGGAUGCAUCCGUCUUAAUUGCAUAUUUUUACAUAUGAUUCAAUCCAGCCACGUAUAGAGUAGAGAAUUAAGCGUAAAUAAAAGACAGUUUCUACUUAAAAACGCGGACGCAGAUGCAGAGACAAAAAAGUGGCUCUUGUACUUGUUCGGGUAGCGUAUCUAAUGUACUGGAUGGUUCUAAUGGACUUGGGAUAUGUUUAAUGCGAAAAUAAGUGCUGCAGAGGAAGGGGUCAUGUUGGAUACACCUACGACCUAUAAAAAAAAGAAACUUCUUUCAGUAUGAUAUCUGAAAUUUUUAAUAAAUGUGAUAGUCCAUUUUAUGCUUUUAUUGAUGUUUCCGCAUAAAAAGAUGAUAAAUUUUAAAUAUAUGCACCCUUCUAUAUUGGUCUGUAUUUUGUUUAGUCGGCUGUAAAAAAAAACCUUAUUGGUUGCGUGAUUGGAACAUAAAUAUAUUUAAUUCAUUAUGCGGGGCAAGAGAAAUUGUCUAUUAUGAGUACUUUACUUUUUUUAAAAUUCUCGCGCAUUUUAUUACCUUUUGGCGAUAAAAUGGUUUAAGAGGGCGUUACACUUUAUCCCUUCUCCCUCACCCGCCUCAUUGAAUGAUACCAGCCUUUCGUGACGUCACUACGCUGGCGUCAUUCGGGAUUUUGGCGAAAUUUCCGAUAUUUUCUUGUAGAUGCUCUUUUAUAAAUAGGCGAAGAGGAUGACAGGUCGGUGAGCGAAAGAAACGUUUGAAGCCAAGUCGACUCAUAUAAAGAAAAGUCUCGGCUAUUACCUUUAUUGUACUUCAUAUAUUAGUUUCAAUUUUAUUCGCCAUCACUUCAAAUUUUUCCGUCCGAAAAUUUUCUGUUAAGUUUCCAAUUAAUAAAUGACGUUUACUGUAAAUUACGGUGACGUCAUCUAGGCAUUUUUCCAAGUAUUUUUCCUUCCGCCCAAAAGUCCUUUUUUGUCAUCCAUCGUGCGAUUUUUCUUCAUCAAUCAAAAUCAAAAUCAAACGUCUCCGACGCAUCCAGUUAAAAUUUAUCAAUUUUGUCGUUUCUGAUCCCAAAUUUUGUUCACUUAUCGAUACGUUUCUCAUCGAUGACGUCACGGCCGGAUCCUAAAUAAUAAAUGGUGUUUGUGCCAAAAAAUUCAAUGCCCGAACGAAUUUUUGUUCGCGUGGCAGCCAAAUAACCAUUUCCAAUUAGGGUGGAGUUAUUCUCGGAUCUUUUUCCGCAUCGAACAGAAUAGUAAAAAUCGCGGAAACUGCUUAAAACUACUCUCGACUUUCAAACGUUAUAACGUCGAUGUUUUCCAGAAUUCCAUCCGGAAAUAGAAAAACGACUUUUCUGCUUCCUGCCUCUUUUCUUCCUUCUAGUAUUAAGCAUCAAAAAAUUGUAUAAGUUAUUACCGUAUUUAGAAUGAUAGAAAACAUCACAAAGGCAAUACACGAAAACGUGUUUCGUUAAUUGCCGGAGUCACGAAAAUCACGAAUAAAUUACCUUCCUUCUCGUUCAAAAAAUAAAUUUUUUCCAUUUCACUUCCCUUCCUUUUAAUACUAAUGUUGACAAGCCGUCGUCGUACUGAUUCCCAAAAAUUCCAUUCUAAAAAAAAAAAUAUUUUGGAGAUCACGUGAUGUGUCCGGUUUUUAAAAUCGAGGCAAGACAAACUCUUUUAAGCCAGAUAUUUAUUUUUUGUUUUUAAAUUUGAAUCUGUUUGCUAAUAGAAGUCGGAAACGGCCCCCGCCCCGGGCCAAUCAGCACCUUACUAGUAAAAUGUCAUCUGUAAAAAAAAUCAGAUCUAGAAUUAGAAUCGAAAUUACCUCCGGAAAUAGGCACGAAACCAUCAAUUAUUAAUUCUUAGCUAUUCCCAUAAAUUAAUAUUUUGUCGUGCUCUAUUCUAUAUUAAGACACAAAAACUGAUAAAAUUAGAUAUUCUAAUUUAAAUUCGAAAUCGUCGACAUUUAUGUUUGUACAUCUCAAUUAUAAAUAAGAAUUUUAACUGUCAACAAAACUUUAUCUCGUUUUAUGCGAUAUUAUGCAUAGCUAUUUUGAAGUAGACAAAUUAUUUUUUGGAACGAAUUU